CCUACGGGAGGCAGCAGUGGGGAAUAUUGCACAAUGGGGGAAACCCUGAUGCAGCGACGCCGCGUGAGUGAAGAAGUAUUUCGGUACGUAAAGCUCUAUCAGCAGGGAAGAAAAACCGGCCUUAGGGCCGCCAGACGGUACCUGACUAAGUAGCACCGGCUAACUACGUGCCAGCAGCCGCGGUAAUACGUAGGGGGCAAGCGUGAUCCGGGUUUACUGGGUGUAAAGGGAGCGUAGACGGCAGCGCAAGUCUGGAGUGAAAGGCCGGGGCCCAACCCCGGAACUGCUGUGGAAACUGUGGAGGUGGAGUGCAGGAGAGGUAAGCGGAAGUCCUAGUGUAGCGGUGAAAUGCGUAGAUAUUAGGAGGAACACCAGUGGCGAAGGCGGCUUACUGGACUGUAACUGACGUUGAGGCUCGAAGGCGUGGGGAGCAAACAGGAUUAGAUACCCCGGUAGUC
This 458-nucleotide ribosomal RNA is filed under the name uncultured bacterium. RNAcentral's name for it is "partial 16S ribosomal RNA". It matches the Rfam family "Bacterial small subunit ribosomal RNA", at positions 338 to 795 of the family's 1533-position model. The record is from RNAcentral.